CUGCACCGCCUACCCCCGCUAUACGAGACGGGCGUCAGAGAAGUUUUUUGUGGCCUCUCUUGGGGUCUUUCUUCGCUACAAACUCGAGUGGUUAGUAUGUUCGUGGAACUUGGUUGGACCGUCACUGGCCAACAAACUAUACACAACUUUCGACAACGGAUCUCUUGGUUCUCCCAUCGAUGAAGAACGCAGCGAAACGCGAUAGGUAAUGUGAAUUGCAGAAUUCCGUGAAUCAUCGAAUCUUUGAACGCACCUUGCGCUCUAUGGCAAUCCGUAGAGCAUGCCUGUUUGAGUGCCAUGAAAUCUCCCACCCCAAGCGGUUUUUAAAUGAAACGGCUUGGCGGAUGGGGUCUGGAUGGGUGCCUCUGCCUGCGCUACCUAGCACAGGCUCGCCCGAAAUGCAUGAGCGCCUUGAGACACUUUGCAUCCGCCUCUCUGUUUGGGAGGAGGCGGCCAAGCAGUGUUUUUCUCCUGGCAUGGCAUGAUACGUCAUUUGCUAUGUCGCCUAAAGGAGGAAUGUUUGGUUGUG
RNAcentral lists this ribosomal RNA (529 nucleotides) under uncultured Malassezia. RNAcentral describes it as "eukaryotic LSU rRNA". The stretch from base 145 to 298 matches the Rfam family "5.8S ribosomal RNA". Lineage: Eukaryota; Fungi; Basidiomycota; Malasseziomycetes; Malasseziales; Malasseziaceae. The record is from RNAcentral.